This is a long non-coding RNA of Lynx canadensis (Canada lynx), 591 nucleotides long. RefSeq lists it as uncharacterized. The transcript has 5 exons. The record is from RefSeq and is a predicted model, not a curated record. NCBI's taxonomy places the organism in Eukaryota, Metazoa, Chordata, Mammalia, Carnivora, Felidae.
UUCUCGGAUCCUCAGUGAUUAUUACCUGUGUAUUGCCGAUUCCCUCCAGUUUCUCACCGCUCGGCUGAUACACCUGAAAUCGUUCGAGACGACGCCUGCGACUACAGUGCCUGAGAGUCCACUUUCUUUAUACUUUCAUCAGCACUGGAUAGGGUAUGGCUCUCUUAUUCCACAGAAGUAAAUAAUUGCAUUUCUUCAGAUCAACUUGAAUCUAAACCUGAGCUCCCAUCCUGCCAUGCUGGUGGAUAAAGCUGUUGCAAAAUCAUUCAUGAAGCCAGUUGGCCGGUGUUUUUUCCUUGCUUUAUUGAACAUAAUGAAUUGAUUAAGAUUGGGAAGAUCUCAUUACUAAUGAGGAGAACCCUGCUUGUGCCAUUUCAAGAAAACCAGAGAAGUGAAAAAGAUUGAAAAGAGAAACAAAAAGCAAGCAGAGGAUACUAGAGAAUACAAGGACCAAAAAUAAAAGCAGCUUCAAGUUAGUGGUUUUUCCCACCUUCUGGAAGAGCUAAGCUGAUUGAACAGAUGAUGCUGGGUGUCCUGGAGAACAGAGAGAGAAACGAUAGAAGAGAAGUAAGAGGCUGCUCCAGGAGCUUC